RNAcentral lists this small RNA (472 nucleotides) under Pongo abelii (Sumatran orangutan). Its description in RNAcentral is "processed transcript". The record is from RNAcentral. Lineage: Eukaryota; Metazoa; Chordata; Mammalia; Primates; Hominidae.
UACUGGGCGCCGGCUUCGCCAUCUGUACCCAGUCCCCCAAGGGAGUAGGUAUGGGCAUGGCGGGUGGUGGUGGUGGGUGGCAUCAGAGGGGCACCAGCCAAAGGGUGUGGCUACCUCGCCGCUGGUCCCCAGGCCCGGGAGGUGGGGAGCACACACGGUGUCCUGGGAGGCAGGGAGCACACAUAGUGCCUUGGGUACCCAGUUGGGUGUUCUCCCGCUGCAGAGGAGACGGCAGCCUGGGUCCUGCCCUUCACCUCUGGCGGCUUUCUCUACAUCGCCUUGGUGAACGUGCUCCCUGACCUCUUGGAAGAAGAGGACCCGUGGCGCUCCCUGCAGCAGCUGCUUCUGCUCUGUGCGGGCAUCGUGGUGAUGGUGCUGUUCUCGCUCUUUGUGGAUUAACCUUCCCUGAUGCCCUGACGCCCCUGCCCCCUGCAGCAAUAAGAUGCUCGGAUUCACUCUGUGACCACAUAUG